GAACCUGAGAAAUGAUAUGCAUGAAGAGAUUAGCUUUUUCUUUUUCUCUUUCUUUUUUCCAUUUUUUCAUCAAUUUUUUUUUUGAUUGCAUAUUUUUUUUUUGAAAAUAAACAUGCUAUGAUGCAAAUGAUGCAGAUAAGACUGGCUGGCUGUGUAUCUCGGAGCACAGGAUCAAAGCUUCGGCUUGAACUCGGAACCACAAAUCAUCUGAGACCCAAAAUCAUCUGAGACCCAACAAUUCUGAACCAAGUCACCAACAGAACCACAAGUCACCAACAAGUCACCGACAAGUCACCAACUGUACCUGUAAUAAUGAUCAUUCCCUCCCCACUCACGGGUGUCAUCUAGGCCAGGGUAAGGUCGAGAGAAAUGCAGCAUAAAU
RNAcentral lists this long non-coding RNA (382 nucleotides) under Lathyrus oleraceus (garden pea). RNAcentral's name for it is "Pisum sativum (pea) long non-coding RNA (PSAT_LNC020482)". The record is from RNAcentral. Lineage: Eukaryota; Viridiplantae; Streptophyta; Magnoliopsida; Fabales; Fabaceae.